Molecule: long non-coding RNA, 1801 nt
Filed under: Lathyrus oleraceus (garden pea)
Lineage: Eukaryota; Viridiplantae; Streptophyta; Magnoliopsida; Fabales; Fabaceae
Description: Pisum sativum (pea) long non-coding RNA (PSAT_LNC038911)
Source: RNAcentral
UAAAAACUACAUUCAAUUUAUUUAAAUAAAAUACUAAUAAACUUGUAAUGUCGAUUUUUUAAACAACUGAGGUAUAAUAUGUAACAACCCGUAUAAUAUAUAUCUAGAAUAACAUCAUACAAGUGUUAAUAAUUGGUACUGAUCCAACAUAAGUGUCUAAUGGCAUCAAUAUAAAUACAUGUCCAAAUAUGAAAACAUCAAUGGGACAUGUUAUAUAAUGGUGCCUACAAAUAAAAAUCUAAGAACUAUGUGCAACAUCUUCAUUGCACAAAACUCCAUAGCGGAAGAUCAUGAUAAACAACAUCCCUUGAAACAUCCAUAGACAACUUCUCCUGAAUUCAAUCUGCAAGGAAUACCUGAAAAAUAACAACAAUAAUGGGAUGAGAUAAUAAUUUCAGUGAGUUCUCUUAUCCUAUGGGUCCACUAGGCUCUACAGGGUUCCUACUCGAUUCUAACUCAAGCAUUCACCUUCUGUUACUUGUGUAUCACUCGCACCUUGUAACUAGGACUUGAGUAACUACAUGAUAAUCACAAUGUAUGGAAACAUGUCACUUGAGUGCAUCCACUCAAAAAAUCACUAUUCGGAUUCACGAAACAUCGAUCCCCAACCGGACCUACGUCUAGGCCAAGGCUUGGUUCACGCAUGUCCGAAUGAUUCGACUUUCACAGUGGAUAUCAGGUUCCCCUAUGGGACUCGAACCCACUUUUAAGAACCAUCACUCAUAUGGGACUCGAACCCACUUUGAGUAUCUUUCACCGUAUGGGACUCUAACCCACUUAGGUGUCCACCUCUCUCUCAUGUCCACCAUGGUUAGGGCUCAAACCCAAUUAAGGCACGAAUCACUGGUGCCACAUCCCCACUUACCGUUUUGCCUAAGCCCUUGAAGUGGUAUAUGCACAAUCACAAAUAAUUCCGAAUACGUGAUUAAUUCUCAAUAACCAAUAGGACUUUCGGAGCAACGCUCCUCAUCAAAAUAGGACUUUUGGAACAAAAGUUCCUCACCAAAUAUCAAACAAUUCUCAUGAUAUCAUAUUAAUUCUCAUGGCAUCAUAACAUGAUCCAUUCUCAUACAUAUAUCACACAUGUUCCAUACAAAGCAUAUUGAUUCGUUACCAAGUGGAUACUUGUCCACAAUACACACCUAGGUACUGUUACGUCCAAGCAUCACCGUAUACUCAUUUCCAUAACCUAGAUUAUCUUUCUAAGUUAUUUAUCAAGUUAUUCUCCUGGGUUUCCUCACUCAUCUUUAUAAGGUUUUUAAUCGUGUUAUUUCACAUUCAACAUAACAAAAAUAUUUAACUUUCGUCAUAAUAUAAUUCAUAGCAUUUAUAAAUCACAUAAUAUAGUAUAACAUGGAAUGAUAAUAAUAGUCCUUUACGUUAUCCUUCUAACGCAACCGUCCGCGUCCAAAACGGAGUUACAAUUCUCAAAUAAUUUAAAAAUCUAACUUAAUCAAGAAUAUAGGUUAACAUUUAUUCCUUACACAAAUAUUUAACAAUAAAAGCUUAACCUAGUGGUAAAGCUUGUUCCAUACAAAUGAGGUUCUAGGUUCAACCCCCAUUGACAGCAUAUUUUAAUUUAUCAAAGAAUUAAUUCAUGAUUGGGAGAUUUCUCACAAAAUUUCACUAAACCAAUCGAUUGGUUGGAACUCUUUAAAGGUUGGGGAUCAAGACAUACUAGCUAAGAACUCACCUUGAAGAUGAAGUUUGAUGAAGGUGAUAGUGAAAAUGACAUGAUGAUGAAGAUGAUGAUCCUCCAUGGUUUUUCUUGUUUUUCCUCCAAGCUCUUCUUUCCUCUUUC